RNAcentral lists this ribosomal RNA (253 nucleotides) under uncultured bacterium. RNAcentral describes it as "partial 16S ribosomal RNA". It matches the Rfam family "Bacterial small subunit ribosomal RNA", at positions 524 to 776 of the family's 1533-position model. The record is from RNAcentral.
UACGUAGGUGGCAAGCGUUGUCCGGAAUCACUGGGCGUAAAGGGCGCGUAGGCGGGGAGGUAAGUCGGGUGUGAAAUCCCUCGGCCCAACUGAGGAACUGCGCCCGAGACUGCUUCUCUUGAGUCCCGGAGAGGAAGAUGGAAUUCCCGGUGUAGUGGUGAAAUGCGUAGAUAUCGGGAGGAACACCAGUGGCGAAGGCGACUACCUGGCCUGUUCUUGACGCUGAGGCGCGAAAGCUAGGGGAGCAAACGGG